Molecule: ribosomal RNA, 253 nt
Filed under: uncultured bacterium
Lineage: Bacteria
Description: partial 16S ribosomal RNA
Rfam family: Bacterial small subunit ribosomal RNA
Source: RNAcentral
UACGUAGGGUGCAGGCGUUACUCGGAAUUACUGGGCGUAAAGCGUGCGCAGGCGGUCUUUUAAGUCAGAUGUGAAAUCCCCGGGCUUAACCUGGGAACUGCGUUUGAAACUGGAAGGCUAGAGUGUGGCAGAGGGGGGUGGAAUUCCACGUGUAGCAGUGAAAUGCGUAGAUAUGUGGAGGAACACCGAUGGCGAAGGCAGCCCCCUGGGCUAACACUGACGCUCAUGCACGAAAGCGUGGGGAGCAAACAGG